AUGUUAUUUUCCUUGACCUUUUUUAUUAUCUUUUUAAAAUUUUCAUAAAUAUUUCUGACCAUAUCAAUUUAGGUUAUUGGACUUUGAUCAGUCUACUGAGUGGUAUGUGGUGCACAUCUUUAGGUGGGAAUGAACCAAGACUUGUUGAAGCUGCAAAUAAACAAUUAAGUACUUUGUCUUUUUACCACUCACUUUGGAAUCGCACCACUAAGCCAUCCCUGGAUUUCACAAGGAACUUGUAGAGACAUUUACUGCUAGGAAAAUGGGAAAAGCCUUUUUUACAAAUAGUGAUUCUGAAUCUAAUGAUUCUCAGGAUUAUAGUAUGCGUAUGAAGGCUGGGUAACUUAAGUCUGGUAAAGAACAAGGCUACAUUGAAGAGACACUCGGAGGUAUAUCCAAUUGAAUACAUACCAAAGGAACAAAGGGACUGCCAUAGUGAGAGCUUAGCCUGUACAAAUUCAGGUCAUGGCUCAUAAUUGGUGACCUUGGCUAAAA
This is a long non-coding RNA of Papaver somniferum (opium poppy), 495 nucleotides long. RefSeq lists it as uncharacterized. The record is from RefSeq and is a predicted model, not a curated record. NCBI's taxonomy places the organism in Eukaryota, Viridiplantae, Streptophyta, Magnoliopsida, Ranunculales, Papaveraceae. The transcript has 5 exons.